Molecule: ribosomal RNA, 787 nt
Filed under: Comamonas sp.
Lineage: Bacteria; Pseudomonadati; Pseudomonadota; Betaproteobacteria; Burkholderiales; Comamonadaceae
Description: bacterial SSU rRNA
Rfam family: Bacterial small subunit ribosomal RNA
Source: RNAcentral
UGCAGUCGACGGUAACAGGUCUUCGGAUGCUGACGAGUGGCGAACGGGUGAGUAACACAUCGGAACGUGCCUAGUAGUGGGGGAUAACUACUCGAAAGAGUAGCUAAUACCGCAUGAGAUCUAAGGAUGAAAGCAGGGGACCUUCGGGCCUUGCGCUACUAGAGCGGCUGAUGGCAGAUUAGGUAGUUGGUGGGAUAAAAGCUUACCAAGCCGACGAUCUGUAGCUGGUCUGAGAGGACGACCAGCCACACUGGGACUGAGACACGGCCCAGACUCCUACGGGAGGCAGCAGUGGGGAAUUUUGGACAAUGGGCGAAAGCCUGAUCCAGCAAUGCCGCGUGUAGGAUGAAGGCCCUCGGGUUGUAAACUACUUUUGUACGGAACGAAAAGCUCUCUUCUAAUAAAGGAGAGUGAUGACGGUACCGUAAGAAUAAGCACCGGCUAACUACGUGCCAGCAGCCGCGGUAAUACGUAGGGUGCGAGCGUUAAUCGGAAUUACUGGGCGUAAAGCGUGCGCAGGCGGUUAUGUAAGACAGAGGUGAAAUCCCCGGGCUCAACCUGGGAACGGCCUUUGUGACUGCAUAGCUAGAGUACGGUAGAGGGGGAUGGAAUUCCGCGUGUAGCAGUGAAAUGCGUAGAUAUGCGGAGGAACACCGAUGGCGAAGGCAAUCCCCUGGACCUGUACUGACGCUCAUGCACGAAAGCGUGGGGAGCAAACAGGAUUAGAUCCCUGGUAGUCCCGCCCUAAACGAUGUCAACUGGUUGUUGGGAAUUAACUUUCUCAGUA